CUCUCCCGUGCCACUGCCUCAUUCCUCUCGCUAACACACUCGGGUGCUGAGUCUUCGUGUCUGCGUCAAUGUGACCGUUGUGUCGCAGCAAUCCAGGGUGGGAAGAUAAAGCACCAUGGCUGAAGAGGUCCUCCUCUGGAGCGCCACAUGCAUGACCUACUCUGAAGGUUGUAAAGUCUCUUGAUGCCUCGUGGUCAUUUCAUCGGUGAAGAGCGCAGGUUCACCUGGUGAUGACAUGGCAGAUCCUUCAGCAGAUGAAGUGAAGAGUUGGCCACAAGUCUGAUCACAAGUUGCCAGCUGAAGGAGCCUGAAGAGCUGCAGGACGUGCUGCACAAUGUGCUGAGGUAACUGCAGCCAGACAGCAGUGCUUGCUUGGAGAGGCCUUGAUCUUGGUGCUGCCAAGAUGCAACCACGCCCCCUGUUGGAAGUCACGAGGAGGCAGUCGUGUUACAAUGAAACUGAAUAAAAGUGAAUAUAUUUC
Long non-coding RNA from Synchiropus splendidus (mandarinfish), 481 nucleotides. RefSeq lists it as uncharacterized. The record is from RefSeq and is a predicted model, not a curated record. The transcript has 11 exons. NCBI's taxonomy places the organism in Eukaryota, Metazoa, Chordata, Actinopteri, Syngnathiformes, Callionymidae.